GACGAACGCUGGCGGCGUGCUUAACACAUGCAAGUCGAACGGAAAGGCCCUGCUUUUGUGGGGUGCUCGAGUGGCGAACGGGUGAGUAACACGUGAGUAACCUGCCCUUGACUUUGGGAUAACUUCAGGAAACUGGGGCUAAUACCGGAUAGGAGCUCCUGCUGCAGGGUGGGGGUUGGAAAGUUUCGGCGGUUGGGGAUGGACUCGCGGCUUAUCAGCUUGUUGGUGGGGUAGUGGCUUACCAAGGCUUUGACGGGUAGCCGGCCUGAGAGGGUGACCGGCCACAUUGGGCCUGAGAUACGGCCCAGACUCCUACGGGAGGCAGCAGUGGGGAAUAUUGCCCAAUGGGCGGACGCCUGAUGCAGCAACGCCGCGUGCGGGAUGACGGCCUUCGGGUUGUAAACCGCUUUCGCCUGUGACGAAGCGUGAGUGACGGUACUGGGUAAAGAAGCACCGGCUAACUACGUG
Molecule: ribosomal RNA, 468 nt
Filed under: uncultured bacterium
Lineage: Bacteria
Description: partial 16S ribosomal RNA
Rfam family: Bacterial small subunit ribosomal RNA
Source: RNAcentral